Paramuricea clavata is the source of this 384-nucleotide non-coding RNA. The record is from the annotation of a GenBank genome assembly. NCBI's taxonomy places the organism in Eukaryota, Metazoa, Cnidaria, Anthozoa, Malacalcyonacea, Plexauridae.
UGGACGAUGUUGGAUCAACUGUAGUGGACGAUGUUGGAUCAACUGUAGUGGUCGAUGUUGGAUCAACUGUAGUGGACGAUGUUGGAUCAACUGUAGUGGACGAUGUUGGAUCAACUGUAGUGGACGAUGUUGGAUCAACUGUAGUGGUCGAUGUUGGAUCAACUGUAGUGGACGAUGUUGGGCCAACUGUAGAGAACGAUGUUGGAUCAACUGUAAUGGACGAUGUUGGAUCAUCUGUAGUGGACGAUGUUGGAUCAACUGUAGUGGACGAUGUUGGAUCAACUGUAGUGGACGAUGUUGGGCCAACUGUAGUGGACAAUGUUGGACCAACUGUAGUGGUCGUGGUUGGACCAACUGUAGUGGACGAUGUUGGACCAACUGUAG